Sorghum bicolor (sorghum) is the source of this 5875-nucleotide long non-coding RNA. RefSeq lists it as uncharacterized. NCBI's taxonomy places the organism in Eukaryota, Viridiplantae, Streptophyta, Magnoliopsida, Poales, Poaceae. The record is from RefSeq and is a predicted model, not a curated record. The transcript has 2 exons.
AUCAUAAUAAUUAUUAUUUUAUUAUAUAAAUUUGGUCAAACUUAGGAUAGUUUGACUCUCUAAGAUUCUUGGAAUGACUUAUAAUUUGGGAUGGAGGAAGUACUAUCAAAUUGGUUUAGGCCAUGUCGACAAAAUUUGUAGCCCACUGGACAGAAUCAGGUAACUGAUUUCUGGUUUAGGAACAUCUGUUUUCUCACAUUCUUGUGCAUAGGUUAAGAUUGAUUUGUGCCCCAAGAGUCAUGUUUAGUCUGAAUAUCUUUUUAAUUUUUACAACAUAUAAAUCUUUGUGCAGCUAUUGUUGUCAUUGCAGUAUAUUCAGUAGAACUGGUGGAUAUAAAUAAUGUUUAUCUAUAUUUAAUAGCUAUCCAAGACUGCCUCAGUUUACUUAUCCUUUGAAGUCAUCAUGGGAAUCCUCUGCACAAUCAGAAAGUACUGUUACUUCUCAGAAAUUUGGCAGAUAUUAAAAUUUUGUCGUUAUUGAAUUUACGCUAAUCACUAAUCAGUUGAAAAGCACAAAGGAAACUCAAUUGCUGAUUGUUCCAAAGAAGAACUGGGAAAAUAAUUAUUUUUUAAGUCAGUAUAAGUCAGCAUAGGCAGUACCUUGCAGGUUUAUCUAAAGGUUAUUGAUCAGAUAUUUAAAAAGGUAUCAAAAUCAGCCAACUGGAAUUUUGUUGUAUUGAGAACUACAUCUAGUACUUUGCAAUGUGCAUGUCAGAGCGGAAUAAAGAAUAGGUAGAUAUCGUCUCCAUAUCAAUUUGGUCAUGCAAACUAUUUUUUCAGUGACUGACUCGCAGAUUGUCAUGCAUAUUUUGUGCACCUGUACAAAAUGAAGCCACAAUAGCAUUGUUUCAUUGGUGCAAUGUCUACUUGGUUAUUCCGUGCUCCCACUCAUUCAUGUCUGCUGGAAAAAGAUUCUAAUUUAUUGUAUUCAUAAGUAGAGGCCACAGAUGUUCUUGAGGAAGUAGCUUGCUUUGUCAAGUAGGCGAACAGUUCGGACCCCCCUCCCCACUACGUACCAUGUAUUGGCGUUAAAUUUCCGUGUUUUGUACUAUUUACUAAACUGUUUGUCUGUUUCAGGUGUCGAUCUAUAGCAUGUUGUUCAGUACACUGCAUUCAUUUACAUUUUUCUGCCAAAAGUAUGUUUUCUGUUUCUUGAAUAUAAUAUUCUUACAUAUAUGUAUCUGUUUUUAUUAAGCUAAACUUUUCACCAAUAAUUGAAAUAUAGUGACUCUGGAUGGAAGCAAAUGCUGAUAUAGAAGCAGGGUGAGUUAUUCCUAGGAAGUUGGAAUGAGAAAGCAAAGGCUGAUAUGGAGAGCAGAGUGAGUUAUUCCUAGGAAGUUGGAAUGAGAAAUUGAUGUUGCAAACAAGUGUCAACCAUGGAGUUAGAUCAGUAUAUGUAUGCAAAUCUGUGUUCAUGCUAUGGACUUAAUAUAUGGUUUUACCUGCUUACUUCCAGCUGUUCCUACUUAAGCUGAACAUUGUCUUUUAUUAUCAUUCUGGACAUAUUAUCCUUGUAUAAUAUGUACAGCAGCUCGAGACAAUGUGAUUCCUUAUUCUAAUCAUUUGCUUCUUUCUAAAUAUUAAGGAAAAAUAUCUGCUGAAAUGUAGAGAUACAUUACACAAAAGAAAAGAAAGCCAAAGAACAAGAUAAAUCCUACAGAACAUUGUAUAUUCAUUGCUGACAUGUUCCUGUGAUUUCCAUCUGAAAUUCUUUCUUUUCGUGGUUACUGGUGAUUGUAAGUCAAAUGAUUUGAUGUAUGCAUUCGGUCUGUCCUGUGUUAACUUUCAGUACUACACUGUGCAGGCUGUAAGAAAAGAGCAGUGAAUGCAGCAGAAAUAAGUCUCUAGGGACCAUUGGAGGUGCUCUCUGACCCCAUUCUGGAGGUAGCUGGUCCACUAUUCAAGACAAGGUAUAAAUCCACUUCCCAGGCCAGCAUGGAGCCACCAAUGCUACAUAAAUGCAUGCGUUAUUAUGCUGUAUUUUGUUUGGUUGUCACCGCUUCUCUAUAGGCCCCAAUCUAGAGUUUUCUAGGGUCGAAUCUUUGUACAAUCUUUGUACAAUGCAGAAGUGUUUGAACAAAUCAUUACGUUGCAAAUGAUCAGGUUUUGCCUGGAUCCUGGUUAGGUUGACUGUUGCUCAUUCUAUAUUCAAAGUGAAGAUGAUCCUUUCGUGGAUGAAUUAGAUAAGAAUUUUGGUGCAUCUGGCCCAGUUGGAAAGCUUCUGCAUGUUUACUGACUUAAUAUUAGAGUGUUUUGUAGUGCCCCUACCUUGUUAUUGUCUCUUCAGCGAACAUUUUCUAUUCUAUCAUCUUUUAUUAUUCUGUAUCAGUGCAAGACACCAGAGUUAAGAUGAGUGAUGAAAUUACUGAAGUUGAAUUUAGACUGCCUUGGCAUAUGAAAAAUCAUUAUUGUAGACAUAUUGUCACAAUUAGUUAUUACUUAUUAGGGGUUUGUGGAUGUGGAAAGAGUGUGAUGUGAAAGGGUAGGAUAUAAUCUCCAAAAGUAGAAUGCUAGAAUCACUUAUAGCAAUAUGAAAGGGAUACUUCAGAAGAGAUGCCUUUCGUUUCUUGAAAAAUUGCAGUGAUUGUUUCUGUACUCUUGGAAGUCAUGAAUAUAGUUUGGAGUAAUCUUCAUUCUAGUAAAUCUUCUUUUAAAUUUCCUUCAUAUCUUACGAGGUAGAUUUAUUUUAAUUAUGUUUUUUGUGGAAUAAAGAGAAAGAGAACUCGUUUGAAUGGAAAGGGAAAUUCCAAGAUCCAAGGAUAUACAAGUUUUAGAUAGCAGGUUAGCACCUGAACAAGUGAACAAGUGAACAUUGGUUUUCCUUUCCAGCCUAACUUCUGCAACCCCAAAUGCUGAUUGGUUUAGUUUCAUAUAAACUCAAUAUUUGUCUUUGCUAUUGCUAAUGCUGAUAAACUUUUUGAUUAAUUGGCAAGGGUGUUGAUUUGGAUAGUUGAAACAGUGUUGGAGUUAUGUGGUUGUUUAAUUCACAAUGGAUUAGAAGGGAAUACGACAAUGAUGCCUAGAGUAUAUUUAUGGCACUAAACAAAUGUUUUCUGGCAUUCAAGUGUCAUGUUGAUUUUGCUUUAAAGGAUGAUGAUCAAAAGGGGGGAAAUUUCUGUUUGUGCUUGUGCUUAAGAAAACAAACAUGGGCCCAACCCCUAUAAAUACUGUCAAGUGAAAUUAAUCAUCAUUCCAGCCUUUUGUUAGGACUCUCUUUAAGACUGCUGCCUUUGACUAUUACAUCAAACAUUUAAGCACAGGCUUGGAAUCCUAUAUCAUUCCUUAAAGGGAGGCAAAGAGUGCGCGCCCAGAGAGGGCCUUAUUAAUACCUAUACUAAUGUGAAAAGGUGCAGUAAAGUGGUUGAUCCCCCAAAACUCUUGGAGUGAGACACGGGGCAUAAGUCAUAAUGUAUUGCUGCUAGAACCUUCUCUCUAGGGCAUACUGUAAUAACUGCAAGGACUCUAAUAUCAAUACCAUUCUGUUUCUGGAAGAAAUUAUAAUUGACAUUUCUACUUCAGCCAGAACAAUAAUACAAUCAAGUGAGUCCCACAUGUCUACGUCAAUGUGACAUUAUUGAUAGCACACUGUUCAAGUUUAAUUUUUGUUUGGCUUGGGAAGCAAUGCUUGUACCCUUUUCAUCUAAUCAGAUUGAUCAGUCAUGGUAAGAUGAUAUCAUGGAAAGGAUGUUUCAAUGCCACAAAACUUCUAAAAAAUGUUUGUUCGAUAAACCUAUCUUAGCUUUACGCAAUGGUGGUUUCUGAAGUGUACAUCAACCGUUGUGUAGUAUUUAUUUAUUUAUUGUAAUGGUGACACAUAGCAGUAAAUAUAGUUUGCAAGCAAAGAGAGAAUUGUUAAACUGGAUUUAGGAUUGACAAUUCCUGGUUAUGGGUCUCACAACAGUUCCUGCAGUAGUAUGUAUACAUUUUCGUAUUUCGAUGAAGGAAUGAAGAAUACAUGCGCGAUAAUUAGAAGUUACUUGUCAUGCACUACAUCCUUGGGUUAACCAUGUGGGAAGGAAGAAGCCAUGGUGUGCUGGUGGGAUGGAGAAAGGUGCAAGUUUCACUUUCUAUAUUUAUUGUUCUCCUUCAUCAUUGAAUAUUUCAAUUCUUGAUAGGAAAUACUUAUCGUUUGGAGCAAGUUGCGUUCAUGAGCGGUAGGUAUCACCAUCAUCAUGGCGUAAAGCUAGGAUUGGUUAGAGGUUUCUCUAUCUGAGAGACUGGUGUGCCUAGCCUACCUCACACUUAGCGAUCUCUCCUGGAAAUUUCCAUCACUGUUUGCAGAAAUUGAAGAACCAGCUGCAUGAGUUUUCAUGCAAUAAAAAGAGGGAAAUAUAGAGAAAAAUAGUUGUAUUGCAAAUGCCUGCCUUUCUAGGAUUAUGCAUAGUAGACAUUUGUGAUAUUCAUAAGUGGUAUGAUUUUCUUGUUGAUGAGUGUUGCUUGUUGAUUUACAUACGUUCCAUCGAUGCGCCUCACAUGAUAUCUAAAAAGUAUCUGUUAUCUACAGUUGUAUGGUUGUAUUAUGCUUGCUAAGUGCGAAUAUCUUUCUGCAUACACUAAAACUGUACAUAUACAUAGAUGCUACCGCAUAGAUUAGAGCCACAAGUGUAAAUUGAAUCAUAACUUCAUAAGAUUGUAUUAUUGAGUUGUAAGUAAUUGCAUUAUGUCAAGUUUAUGAAUAUAAGUAUUGUGAUCAGCAAAGAUGGCCAAGAAAGAAUGUUGUGUGGGCUACACCGAAUCAGUACCUGUAAUGCUGCUUGUAAUAAAUCUUGGUCCAUUUUAUUCUAAACCAUUGAUGGGUUUCCCUUGUAGGAACUUUGUACUCAGGUCUAUUGAUUAGCCAUCACUUUCCAAUCAGGUGCUUUAAGUUUGUGUACCUCCCACAUCAGUUUAAUUCUGAUGUUAUCUGUACAAUGGCAAUCUGCGAGGCAGUCCUUUUAACUCUCGUAAGACGUUAUGCAGUUAAGAAGUCCAAUAAAUUAUGCAACUGAUGUCAGCUAUUAUGGCUCGUGAAGGAGUUUUGUUUGUGUUUACAGGACUGGUAGAAAAUAUUUGCUCAGGGAGCUUGAAUCCAAGGAAAGGCAUGGGAAGCAUGGCCCCUGCUGCACUGAACAAGAAACCAACAAGCUCUCAUAACAACACUCCACCAGAAACCAACAACAGAGAGAAGGAAGGAACCCUCGCACAAGCACUCUCUGGUCCGACUCCGACGGGUGCAGCUGGACGGGACCCUACAUUGUAAAUGUGCGCUUGUCUCGGUGCUCUCAGUAUGGGUCCAUGCACACUUGCCCGAAGAUUGAUGCAAUGUUGACGGUGACCAGUGACAGUGAGCCCCCCAGCGCACGCAGGCAAGCAAAGCAAGCAAGCAGGGCAGGCGGGCGCGCAGCGUCCUUGAACUGAAUUGAGACGGGGAGUUGAGGAGAAGCCGGGUGUCACUGGCACUGGGCAUGCAGGCGAUCCUGUGAGUGAAGCACGUUCGGGUGGGCUGAUGAGGCUCUAGAUGGCGCGUGUGCGUGUGCGUGUGUACUGGAGAUCUGGAGAGGGGGGCGAGGGAAGCUACUGAUGAACUGAUGAAUUUGCGGACAAAUCUGGAGGCCGAAAGGCGUCAUUGGGGGUCCCGAUUGGUUGGAAGAAGGCAGCUUUCUGCAGAUGCCCGGUGUGUUCCUUCUUGACCAGGGGUGUUUGUUGGUUGUUACAGGCGGCAUGGUGCGUGACCGAGUCUGGUCUGAUCUGGCGUGCAGGAGGGUGUGAGCCUGUGACGUGACCGUCCGGAAUCUUUGUGGCGAUCACUUGGAGUUUAAAAAUGUUUGACUACUGAAAAAAAUAAGAAUUGUGUCUUUGGGAAAGAGGGCAGUGCAAUGCUUCUUUUUUCCACUCA